Molecule: ribosomal RNA, 468 nt
Filed under: uncultured bacterium
Lineage: Bacteria
Description: partial 16S ribosomal RNA
Rfam family: Bacterial small subunit ribosomal RNA
Source: RNAcentral
GACGAACGCUGGCGGCGUGCUUAACACAUGCAAGUCGAACUGAAAGGCCCUGCGUUUGUGGGGUGCUCGAGUGGCGAACGGGUGAGUAACACGUGAGUAACCUGCCCUUGACGUUGGGAUAACUUCAGGAAACUUGGUCUAAUACCGGAUAGUCGCUCCUUCUUCAUGGUGGUGUUUGCAGAGUUUCGGCGGUUGGGGAUGUGCUCGCGGCUUAUCAGCUUGGUGGUGGGGUAGUGGCUUACCAAGGCUUUGACGGGUAGCCGGCCUGAGAGGGUGACCGGGCACAUUGGGACUGAGAUAAGGCCCAGAAUCCUACGGGAGGCAGCAGUGGGGAAUAUUGGACAAUGGGAGGAAGCGUGAUGCAGCAACGCCGCGUGCGGGAUGACAGGUUUCGGGUUGUGAACCGCUUUCGCCUGUGACGAAGAGUGAGUGACGAUAAUGGGUAAAGAAGCAACGGCUAAAUACGUG